Molecule: long non-coding RNA, 4744 nt
Filed under: Homo sapiens (human)
Lineage: Eukaryota; Metazoa; Chordata; Mammalia; Primates; Hominidae
Description: PREDICTED lncRNA (TCONS_00226930)
Source: RNAcentral
GGAGAAUGUGCUGAUGAGAAGAAUGUUUAUUCUGUAGCUGUUGGGUGAAAUGUCCUGUAAAUGUCUGUUAGGCCCAGUUGGUCUAAAUCUAAUGUUUCUUUGUUGAUUUUCUGUCUAGAUGAUCUGUCCAGUGCUGAGACUGGAUGACUGAAGUCCCCAACUACUAUUGUAGUUGGAGUCUAUGUGCCCAUUUAUUUUUUUAGUUUUUUGAGACAGAGUCUCACUCUGUUACCCAGGCUGGAGUGCAGUGGCACAAUUACGGCUCACUGUAGUUUUGACCUCCUGAGCUCAAGUGAUUCUCUUGCUUCAGCCUUUUGAGUAGUUGGAACUACAGGUGUGUGUCACCAUGGCUAAUUUGUUAUUUCUUUAAUAGAGGUGGGGCCUCAGUAUGUUUCCCAGGCAGGUCUUGAACUGCACUCAAGUGAUCUUCCCACCUUGACCUCCCAAAGUGCUGAAAUUACAGGCAUGAGCCACUGUACCUAGCCUAAUUUUUAAAUUAUUUCUAGAGACAAGGUCUCACUAUGUUGCGCAGGCUGGUCUCAAACUCCUGGGCUCAAGCAUUCCUCCCACUUUGGCCUCCCAAAGUACUGGGAUUACAGGUGUGAGAGCCCCUUGAAAUAUAAGAAUAUUGGCUUUAUUUAUUUUGGUGCUCUGGUGUUCGGUGCAUAUAUAUUUACAGUUGUUUUAGCCUUUUGAAUUGAUCUCUUUAUCAUUAUAUAAUGAUUUUCUUUGUCUCUUUUUACAGUUUUGGAUAUAGUCUAUUUUAUCUAAGCAUAGCUAUUCUUGCCUGGUUUUGGUUUUGCUUUGUGUGGAGUAUCUUUUUCCAUACCUACACUUUCAGUCCAUAUGUGUGUUUACGGGUGAAGUGAGUUUUUUGCAGGCAGCAUACAGUUGGGUAAUGGGGUUUUUUGUUUUUUUGUUUAUUUUAAUCCAUUCAGUCUUUCUAUAACUUUUAGGUGGGGAAUUUAAUCCGUUUACAUUCAAGGCUGUUAUUGACAGGUGAAGACUUGCUCUUGUCAUUUUGUGAGUUGUUUUCUGAUUGCUUUGUAUAUCCUUUGUUUUUUCCUCUCAAUGUUUAUCACUGUGAUUUUGUGAUUUUCUGUGGAGAUAAGUUUUCUUUAUCUUCCUCCUUUGUGUAUCUAUAACACUAGUACAUUUUAUGCUUUUGUAUGUUUUCAUGAUGGUGAUUAUCAUCUUUUUGCCUUCAGAUGUAUUAAGCAUUUCUUGUAAGGCUGGUCUAGUUGUGAUGAAUUCCAUCAGUUUUUGUCUGGGAUCUGUGUUUAUUUUAAUUAUGUCUUGUCUUAUUCUCUGUUUUUUGUGUUAUUUUUUAAAAUUAUUUCAGAGAAGAUUGGUUCUUACACUGUGACUAUCCUUUUCUGUUUAUUUAUUUCAUUUUAAUUUUUUUAGAGACAGGAUCUCCCUCUAUUGCCCAUCAUGGAGUGCAGUGGUGUGAUCAUAGCUCAUUGCAGCUUCGGACUCCUGGGCUCAAGCAAUCCACUCACCUCAGUCUCUUGAGUAGCUGGGACUACAGUUGCAUGCCACCUUACCUGGCUUUUUUUUUUUUUUCAGAGACAGGGUCUCAUUUCGUUGCCCAGGCUAGUCUUAAAUUCCUGGCUUCAAGCAAUCCUUCCACCUCAGCUAGGAUUACAGGUGUAAGCCACGAUACCCCACUCUGUGACUAUUCUUAUAUAUUGCUUUUAUGUCUUCGUUUGCUUUGAUUUUUAAUUGCAGAAUGUGUUUAAUAGAUUCUGUAAAUUUAUUGCAGCUUGGUUUUGAUACAUUUGGUUAUGAGUUAGUUAACCAGUGUCCUGGAGGAAUGUUUUGAAGUUAGAUGACAUGAGUAGCAUAAGGGGCUGGCUUUUAGCUCAGAACAACUUUUUUUUUUUUUUUUUUAAUAUGGAGUCUUGCUCUGUCACCCAGGCUGGAGUGCAAUGGCAUGAUCUUGGCUCACUGCAACCUCCAGCUCCUGGGUUUAAGUGAUUCUCCUGCCCCAGCCUCCCGAGUAGCUGGGAUUACAGGUGUGCACCACCACGCCCAGCUAAUUUUUGUAUUUUUAGUAAAAACAGGGUUUCACAAUGUUGGUCAGGCUGGUCUUGAACUGCUGACCUUGUGAUCCACCCACCUCGGCCUCCCAAAGUGCUGCGAUUACAGGUGUGAGCCACUGUGCCCGGUCAGCUCAGAACAACUUGUUGAGAUUAUACGAUGCUUUUCCAAUAAAAAUUAUUUAAUUUUGAUAAAAUAUACUUAAUGGAAAAAUGUAUCUUUUAACAUUUUAAAUUGUACAGUUCAGUGGCAUUAAGUAUAUUCACAUUGUCUUACAACCAUCACUUCCACUCAUCCACAGAACGUUUUUUACCUUGCAAAACUGAAACUCUGUGCUGUUAAACAGUAACUGCCAUUCUACGCCCCCAUCCCAGCCCUUGUCAACCACCAUUCUACUUUGUCUAUGAAUUUGACUGCUCAGAGUACUUCAUAUAAGUGGGAUCAUACAGUUUUUGUCCUUUCAUUACUAGCUUCUUUCCCUUAACAUAAUGUCUUCAAGGAUCAUCCUUGUUGUAGCAUGUGUUAGAAUUUCUUUCCUUUUUAAGUCUAUGAUACACCAUUGUAUAUACAUACUAUAUUUUGUUUAUUCAUCUGUCAGUGGACAUUUGUGUUGCUUCUACAUUUUGGCUGUUGUUAAUACGCUGCUGUGAAUGUGGGUGUACAACUGUGUCUUUGAGAUCUUGUUUUCAGUUCUUUUGAGAUAUAUACCCAUAAGUGGAAUUGCUGGAUCUUAUGGUAAUUCUAUUUUUAAUAUUUUGUUGUGUUUGUGUUUUUUGUCUUAGAUUUUUUUCUUAAUCAAGUUUUUCCAGAAGAGAGUAGCUUUAGGAAGAGAAUAAACACAUACUUUUAAGGUAUUAUCUCAGACUUUAGGCGCAUUAUGAUCAUAUCAGUAGCACCCAUGUACUGAAUAAGUGAACUCAAAGAAAAGUUAUGUUGGGCAACUACCUCAAAGUUUUGUUAUCUCUGCUUGCAAUUUUUGUUCAGUCAUUGCACAAGUGCUUGAGGGCUUACUGCAUGUGAGGCUCUGUAGACUAAGUAUUAAUGAACUUUCUUUUUUGUCCUUGCAGUAGCAGGUACAGCUUUGAUCUCAGUUUUCUGCCAAAUGAAUGGUUCUGUGUUUUGUGCUCAUUCGUUUACAGAGAUCCCUCUGAACCACCUUGGAACCAGAAGGUGUGUGGUCUGAGAACGAUAAAUGGGCUGCUCUCUGCCUCUCUCACAGCAGUUCUGCCCCUCCUUGGGACCACUCGUUUUCUGCAUUCCUGGCCCAUCUUCUAUAUAUCUCUGGUCCAGAUUCCAGAGGAAACCUGUUUGACUUGAAUAGAUGCCAUUGCCCUUAUUGGGCCUUGCCUCAGGAGUUCCUCUGUGUAUCUCUGGUCCAGAUUCCGGAGGAAACCUGUUUGACUUGAGUAGAUGCCAUUGCCCUUAUUGGGCCUUGCCUCAGGAGUUGCUGGUUAGCCUAUGAAGGGGUUCCCUUUGGGUUGAUGACAUUGCUCCCAUCCAGAAAGUGGCUACUUCUACCCUCCUACUCCCACCACUCUGCAUGCAGGAGCUGUUAUCAUCAAAAGGGAAUGUCCACUGUCUGCUCUGUACCAGAGAAGUGCUAGGCUUCAUAAAUAUUGGUAAUCGAUACCUGAAUGGGAUGAAAAUUGGCAGGUCCUGGGAUGGAUGGCCUGGUUCAUCUGCAUCAGAACUGGAAAAACAAAAUCACACCAAAUUGCAGACUUUUUUGGAAGAGCGUGUUAGACAAGUGAACUCUGCCCCCAGGAGCAGAGUAUCCAGUUCUGUGUCCAAGCACUCUAUGAAUCUUUACCCUUGUUGAAGAAAUACUCAGAGACAGAAGCAUUUAGAAAAGGAAAAGUUUACCUGCAAAGAGAGCAAGAGAAUGACUGGCUUGCCUAAUAAAAAACAAAUAAAAGAAGUGUGGAUACUGAAAGCAUCUGACAUGUUGAUGACAACCUCUGUGAGAAGAUAAAAGGUCUGAUGGAGAUGUACAAGACGACUAAUGUUGGUUCCCUGCCUGCUAACACAACAUCCGUUCUGCAGCCCAUGGGUCAAAGAGUAAUUUCAACUUUCAAGUCUUAUUAUUUAAGAAGUGCAUUUCAUAAGGCUAUAGCUGUCACUGACAGUGAUUCCACUGAUGGAUCUGGGCAAAAUAUAUUGAAAACCUUCCAGAAAGGAUUCACCAUUCAAGAUGCUCUAGGCUGCUCUGGUCUGUAACUUUCCAUUCCAACAGUAAAAAAUCUGGGAUCUCCUACUUUUCACCUCAGAAAGCUACAAAUGUAAAAGGAAAAAUAAAUUUGUUUUGAGAGGAAAUCACUUAUUCAAAUAGCCAUGUUAUUCUGUUUUGUUCAUAAUAUCAACGGCUCUAUAAAUAAAGAACUUUAAAGAAAUAGCAAAUUCACCCAGAGAAAGCUCUGCCUGCAAUAUUUUUCAGGUCAUGUCACACAAAGAAAAAUAACAAUGCUUGCACAGCCCACUGAGAUAAAAUGGACAAGGAUGUUCAGUGGUGGAGGUGAUGGCUCAAGGGACUUAGGAAUCCGUCUGGAAUGCUGAGAGACCAACACGUCCACUAACCUACAGCUAUUCACACCAUCAGGGAAGUGCUGGACUAAAGUAACAAGGCUCUAACAACUCCAGGGAUUUCUAGAAUUGUGUAUCAUAUACUAUUCCUAAAAUAUAAAAAGUAACAUUAAGGUCUGAG